CAAUUCUGAUGAGUCUCACAACAGGACGAAAUGGCCGUCCAGUGG
Schistosoma rodhaini is the source of this 45-nucleotide non-coding RNA. Lineage: Eukaryota; Metazoa; Platyhelminthes; Trematoda; Strigeidida; Schistosomatidae. The record is from Rfam.